Rhizoctonia solani is the source of this 109-nucleotide non-coding RNA. The record is from the annotation of a RefSeq genome assembly. NCBI's taxonomy places the organism in Eukaryota, Fungi, Basidiomycota, Agaricomycetes, Cantharellales, Ceratobasidiaceae.
GGCUGUAUAGUGUAGUGGUUUAGCACUCGGGAUUUUGAUGUACCCGGGUUCAAGCCGGGUAUUACGUAAUCAUAUUCCCGCAACCCCGGUUCGAACCCGGGUACGGCCU